RNAcentral lists this ribosomal RNA (492 nucleotides) under uncultured bacterium. RNAcentral describes it as "partial 16S ribosomal RNA". It matches the Rfam family "Bacterial small subunit ribosomal RNA", at positions 29 to 507 of the family's 1533-position model. The record is from RNAcentral.
AUUGAACGCUGGCGGCAUGCUUUACACAUGCAAGUCGAACGGUAACAGGCCUUCGGGUGCUGACGAGUGGCGAACGGGUGAGUAAUGCAUCGGAACGUACCCAGAGGUGGGGGAUAACGCAGCGAAAGCUGUGCUAAUACCGCAUGUGAUCUGAGGAUGAAAGCGGGGGACCGAGCAGCAAUGUUUGGCCUCGCGCCUUUGGAGCGGCCGAUGUCGGAUUAGCUAGUUGGUGGGGUAAAGGCCUACCAAGGCGACGAUCCGUAGCUGGUCUGAGAGGACGACCAGCCACACUGGGACUGAGACACGGCCCAGACUCCUACGGGAGGCAGCAGUGGGGAAUUUUGGACAAAGGGCGCAAGCCUGAUCCAGCAAUGCCGCGUGCGGGAAGAAGGCCUUCGGGUUGUAAACCGCUUUUGGCAGGAACGAAACGGUGUCCGCUAAUACCGGGCGGUAAUGACGGUACCUGCAGAAUAAGCACCGGCUAACUACGUG